GCUCCCAUAGCUUAGACCAAA
RNAcentral lists this transfer RNA (21 nucleotides) under Mitu tuberosum. RNAcentral's name for it is "tRNA-Phe". Lineage: Eukaryota; Metazoa; Chordata; Aves; Galliformes; Cracidae. RNAcentral also lists the same sequence under 4 other names. The record is from RNAcentral.